Molecule: non-coding RNA, 105 nt
Organism: Acanthosepion pharaonis
Lineage: Eukaryota; Metazoa; Mollusca; Cephalopoda; Sepiida; Sepiidae
Source: the annotation of a GenBank genome assembly
CGGCCACAUCACGUUGAAACACCCGUACGAUUACUGAAGUUAAGCAACAGCGAGCCUGGUCAGUAUUUAGAUGGGUGACCGCUUGUGAAUAUUUGGUGCUGUAAG